GCCGAGGUGGCGGAAUGGUAGACGCGGCGGACUUAAAAUCCGUUGCCAGUGAUGGCGUGUGGGUUCGACUCCCACCCUCGGCACCA
RNAcentral lists this transfer RNA (86 nucleotides) under SAR202 cluster bacterium AD-802-E10_MRT_200m. RNAcentral's name for it is "tRNA-Leu". It matches the Rfam family "tRNA". From Rfam's summary of the family: Transfer RNA (tRNA) molecules are approximately 80 nucleotides in length. Their secondary structure includes four short double-helical elements and three loops (D, anti-codon, and T loops). The record is from RNAcentral. Lineage: Bacteria; Bacillati; Chloroflexota; Dehalococcoidia.